ACAGAAGAAGCACCGGCUAACUUCGUGCCAGCAGCCGCGGUAAUACGAGGGGUGCAAGCGUUAAUCGGAAUUACUGGGCGUAAAGCGUGCGUAGGUGGUUUGUUAAGCAAGAUGUGAAAGCCCAGGGCUCAACCUUGGAACUGCAUUUUGAACUGGCAGACUAGAGUAUUGUAGAGGGUAGUGGAAUUUCCAGUGUAGCGGUGAAAUGCGUAGAGAUUGGAAGGAACAUCAGUGGCGAAGGCGGCUACCUGGACAGAUACUGACACUGAGGCACGAAAGCGUGGGGAGCAAACAGGAUUAGAUACCCUGGUAGUCCACGCCGUAAACGAUGUCAACUAGCCGUCUGUGGUCUUGAACCGUGGGUGGCGUAGCUAACGCGCUAAGUUGACCGCCUGGGGAGUACGGCCGCAAGGUUAAAACUCAAAUGAAUUGACGGGGGCCCGCACAAGCGGUGGAGCAUGUGGUUUAAUUCGAUGCAACGCGAAGAACCUUACCAUCCCUUGACAUCCAGAGAAAUUUCUAGAGAUAGAUUUGUGCCUUCGGGAACUCUG
This 551-nucleotide ribosomal RNA is filed under the name uncultured bacterium. Its description in RNAcentral is "bacterial SSU rRNA". It matches the Rfam family "Bacterial small subunit ribosomal RNA", at positions 481 to 1031 of the family's 1533-position model. The record is from RNAcentral.